Molecule: ribosomal RNA, 412 nt
Filed under: uncultured microorganism
Description: bacterial SSU rRNA
Rfam family: Archaeal small subunit ribosomal RNA
Source: RNAcentral
GCGCAGCAGUCGCGAAACCUUCGCAAUGCGGGAAACCGCGACGAGGGACUCCCAGUGCCUACGCUCAGCGUAGGCUGUUCCCGAGCCUAGAAAGCUCGGGGAGUAAGGGCUGGGUAAGACGGGUGCCAGCCGCCGCGGUAAUACCCACAGCCCGAGUGGUGGCCACUAUUAUUGGGCCUAAAGCGUCCGUAGCCGGCCCGGUAAAUGCCUGGGUAAAUCGUGAGGCCUAACCUCACGAAUUCCGGGUAGACUGCCGGGCUAGGGACCGGAGGAGGGAGAGGGUACUCCAGGGGUAGGGGUGAAAUCCUGUAAUCCCUGGAGGACCACCGGUGGCGAAGGCGCUCUCCUAGGACGGGUCCGACGGUGAGGGACGAAAGCCAGGGGAGCGAACCGGAUUAGAUACCCCUGUAGU